GACGAACGCUGGCGGCGUGCUUAACACAUGCAAGUCGAACGGAAAGGCCCUUCGGGGUACUCGAGUGGCGAAAGGGUGAGUAACACGUGGGUGAUCUGCCCUGCACUUUGGGAUAAGCCUGGGAAACUGGGUCUAAUACCGGAUAGGACCACGGCAUUCAUGUGCUGUGGUUGAAAGCUUUUGCGGUGUGGGAUGGGCCCGCGGCCUAUCAGCUUGUUGGUGGGGUAAUGGCCUACCAAGGCGACGACGGGUAGCCGGCCUGAGAGGGUGACCGGCCACACUGGGACUGAGAUACGGCCCAGACUCCUACGGGAGGCAGCAGUGGGGAAUAUUGCACAAUGGGCGCAAGCCUGAUGCAGCGACGCCGCGUGAGGGAUGACGGCCUUCGGGUUGUAAACCUCUUUCGCCAGGGACGAAGCGCAAGUGACGGUACCUGGAGAAGAAGGACCGGCCAACUACGUG
This 462-nucleotide ribosomal RNA is filed under the name uncultured bacterium. RNAcentral describes it as "partial 16S ribosomal RNA". It matches the Rfam family "Bacterial small subunit ribosomal RNA", at positions 28 to 507 of the family's 1533-position model. The record is from RNAcentral.